This 262-nucleotide ribosomal RNA is filed under the name uncultured archaeon. Its description in RNAcentral is "partial 16S ribosomal RNA". It matches the Rfam family "Archaeal small subunit ribosomal RNA", at positions 748 to 1009 of the family's 1478-position model. The record is from RNAcentral.
CAGCCCUAAACGAUGCGCGUUAGGUGUAUCGGUGACCACGAGUCACCGAGGUGCCGAAGGGAAACCGUGAAACGUGCCGCCUGGGAAGUACGGUCGCAAGGCUGAAACUUAAAGGAAUUGGCGGGGGAGCACAACAACGGGUGGAGCUUGCGGUUUAAUUUGGAUUCAACGCCGGAAAUCUUACCGGGACCGACAGCAACAUGAAGGCCAAGCUGAAGACUUUGCCGGAUUAGCUGAGAGGAGGUGCAUGGCGUAGUCGUGU